UUAAGUUCAGCGGGUAUUCCUACCUGAUCCGAGGUCAACCUUGAAAAUUUGGGGGUUUUACGGCCAGAACCCGCUACACGUCCUGAGCGAAGAGUAAACUACUGCACUCGGUAUAUAGCGAGCCCGCCACUAUUUUUAGGAGGCUGCGGACGGCCGCAGGGCCCCAACACAAGCCUAAGGCUUGAUGGUUGAAAUGACGC
RNAcentral lists this unclassified non-coding RNA (200 nucleotides) under Lasiosphaeriaceae sp. RNAcentral describes it as "partial internal transcribed spacer 2". The record is from RNAcentral. Lineage: Eukaryota; Fungi; Ascomycota; Sordariomycetes; Sordariales; Lasiosphaeriaceae.